AUUCCAGCUCUAAUAGCGUAUAUUAAUGUUGUUGCAGUUAAAAAGCUCGUAGUUGGAUUUUGGAGUUUGACAAGUGGUCUGCCUAAGGUGUGUACUGCUUGUCGGCUCUUCUUUUCUGGGGACCACGCUGCUCUUUAUUGAGGGGUGCUGGGAAUCAGAUCUUUUACUUUGAAAAAAUUAGAGUGUUCAAAGCAGGCCCACGCAUUGAAUACAUUAGCAUGGAAUAAUGGAAUAGGACUUUGGUCUUAUUUUGUUGGUUUCUAAGGCCGAGGUAAUGAUUAAUAGGGAUAGUUGGGGGCGUUUAUAUUCCAUUGUCAGAGGUGAAAUUCUUGGAUUUAUGGAUGAUAAACUACUGCGAAAGCAUUCGCCAAGGAUGUUUUCAUUA
This 385-nucleotide ribosomal RNA is filed under the name Katablepharidaceae sp. Its description in RNAcentral is "partial small subunit ribosomal RNA". It matches the Rfam family "Eukaryotic small subunit ribosomal RNA", at positions 582 to 975 of the family's 1831-position model. Lineage: Eukaryota; Cryptophyceae; Kathablepharidacea; Katablepharidaceae. The record is from RNAcentral.